Molecule: long non-coding RNA, 1085 nt
Filed under: Heterocephalus glaber (naked mole-rat)
Lineage: Eukaryota; Metazoa; Chordata; Mammalia; Rodentia; Bathyergidae
Description: lncRNA (ENSHGLG00000041481.1)
Source: RNAcentral
GAGGGCCCCAGUGCAUGCUGAGUGGAGGCAAGGGCAGAACAGCAUCUUCUCCAACCCGCAGCUAAACUCCGUAAGAAUUUACCAAGGGCAGGCUGUUUCCUCAGUACGUUGCCUGAUACAACUAAGUGGAUGCUUGCCCUAACCCUGUGAAAGAACUGCUGCUCCCACUUCACGGAUGAUGAGCAGGGAGGACAGCAUCGUAAGGGUGGGAUGAGAUGAAAGACCUAGAGAUGGGGAGACACUCCAGAUGGAUCCUGAAUAUCCACCACAAUCCUUAAAAGAGAGAUGCUGGAGGGUCAGAAGUGGACAGAAGGUGAUGAGAGGAUGACAGCAGGGCCUGGAGUGAUACAUGUUGAAGAGGAAGGAAGGGGCCAUGAGCCAAUGGAUGCAGGUGGCUGCUACAGCCUGGCAGAGGCCUACCUGGAAACAAAGUCUACCCUGGAUCCUCCAGCAGGAAGCAGCCCUGUGAACACCCUGAUUGUAACCCAGUGAAGCUGAUUUGGUACUUCCAGCUGCCGGAGCUGUAAGGAAAUGAACUGUGUUGCUUCAAGCCACUGUGUUUGUGCUCAUGUGUUAUGGUAGCAAAAGGAAACUCAUACAACCUAUCAACUUUUCUCCUUUCCCAUUGCCCCUCCCUGGCUUUAUUUCCAACGCACUGCAACUUCCUCCUAAGGGUCUCCUGCCUCCAGCUUUGCCUCCUCUGAGGCUUCCUCCAUGAGACCACCAAAGUGCUUGCCCCUCAUUCACAUCCUUGGGGGCUCUUCCAUUUGGAGGAGAAGAGAACACCAGGCCUGUCCUCAGCUCAGCUUUUAGACUUGGCCCUGCCCACCUCUCUCUACUUCAGACUUCCAGCUGCCAGAUUUCUAAACGCAUUCCAUGGUUUAAUAUACCUACAUUUCUGUUCUUUCCUGCAAGAAUAGGUUCCCUUUGCUUUUUUUUUUCCUACUGAACUAUUGUCCGUACAGCAAAACCCAAUACAGACAUAACUUCCUCCACGAAGCCUUUUCCAACUCUUUUUCUCCUCGUGGAGUUAAUGACAGAUUUCUCUGACCUCACUCAAUCUUGAUUCUUUGAUUCCAUUGUUG